GCCGAGUGUGGUGUUGCUCCUGUAGUCCCAGCUACCCAGGAGGCUGAGACAGGAGGAUCACUUGAAUCCAGAAGUUUGCGGCUAUAACAAGCUCUGCCAAUUGGGUGUCCACACUAAGUUCGGCAUCGAUAUGGUGACCUCCUGGGAGGAGGGACCACCAAGAUGCUAAAAAGGGCAGGUCAAAACCCGUGCUGAUGAGUAGUGAGAUCAUGCCUGUGAAGAGCCCACUGUGCUCCAGCAGCAACAUAAAAAGACCCUGUCUUU
RNAcentral lists this signal recognition particle RNA (264 nucleotides) under Theropithecus gelada (gelada). Its description in RNAcentral is "Metazoan signal recognition particle RNA (ENSTGEG00000010213.1)". It matches the Rfam family "Metazoan signal recognition particle RNA". Rfam says of the family: The signal recognition particle (SRP) is a universally conserved ribonucleoprotein. It is involved in the co-translational targeting of proteins to membranes. The record is from RNAcentral. Lineage: Eukaryota; Metazoa; Chordata; Mammalia; Primates; Cercopithecidae.